Non-coding RNA from Caryophanon tenue, 29 nucleotides. Lineage: Bacteria; Bacillati; Bacillota; Bacilli; Caryophanales; Caryophanaceae. The record is from Rfam.
CUUUAUAUCCCUCUUAGUUCAGAUAAAAC